This 78-nucleotide transfer RNA is filed under the name Sphingobium indicum UT26S. RNAcentral describes it as "Sphingobium japonicum UT26S tRNA-Lys (CTT)". It matches the Rfam family "tRNA". From Rfam's summary of the family: Transfer RNA (tRNA) molecules are approximately 80 nucleotides in length. Lineage: Bacteria; Pseudomonadati; Pseudomonadota; Alphaproteobacteria; Sphingomonadales; Sphingobiaceae. The record is from RNAcentral.
UGGACGCAUAGCUCAGUUGGUAGAGCAGCUGACUCUUAAUCAGCGGGUCCUAGGUUCGAGCCCUAGUGCGUCCACCAA